Long non-coding RNA from Pollicipes pollicipes, 1110 nucleotides. RefSeq lists it as uncharacterized. The transcript is spliced from 2 exons. NCBI's taxonomy places the organism in Eukaryota, Metazoa, Arthropoda, Thecostraca, Pollicipedomorpha, Pollicipedidae. The record is from RefSeq and is a predicted model, not a curated record.
GGGUUGAUUACACACAAUACAAGACGCCAGUUUUGUCUACCAGUGAUCAAAUCGCACGGCUAAAAAUACAUUUGACGCAAAAUCCAGUGCCUAGUGCGACAUAAUGCUAUAAAAUUAAACCUCUUGAAACAAAUUGCACUCAAUAACUUCACCAUUUAUCGCGUUCAUUUGCACAGUUUGUUCUCAACUAGCCAUAAUACGAUAAAUAUUACCGUAAAGACAUGUCCGUGGGGCGCCUCGAGCAAACCACACCAGGCAGGUGGAGGGACAAAAUGAAUGUGGCCUGUUCGAGACCGUUUCGCAGCAAAUCUAGGCACUCGCACUGCACGUCAAGGGCACGCAGCCGAAGGUCAAAUCGAGGUCGGGGUGGAUCACGUGGCUGUGCAGUGCGAACUGGGCGAAGCAAAAGUCGCUCGAGGAAAUCAAAAAGCAAGGCGCGAGAGACAAGGUCAAAAAGUAGGAAAAAGUCAGGCCAUCGGCGGUCCAAGAGCAGGAGGUCCAAGAGCAGGAGAUCCAAGUGCAGGAGAUCCAAAAGCCAGAGAAGUAGGAGGAAGUCAUCUCGAAGGAGAAAGAAGACACGACGCUCCUGCAGCAGAAAGCGGAGUAAAAGUCAAAAGCCACCCUCCAAACCGAUGCAGACUACAUUCUACCCCCAGUUCUAACCGAUAUGGAUUGCUGCAGCAAGAUAUAUUUUGAAAUGGCAGCCAUCACAAGAAUUCGCGAGUCGGUAGGUUUGGACCGGUGGCGUCAUUGAUCAGUCGCCACGUUCUUAUGCUAUUGUACAGCAAACAGUCCUGCUGCCGAAUCGCCAUUUGUCAAGCACAUGAAUAAAAAAGCGUGGCCGCAGAUGCUGCAUGGCUAAGGCUCUCACUUCCUCACGGACGAUAUAAACCCUAUAUCUCCUAUGGAUUUACGCAACACGAUUCAUGUCACGUGCCUUGCUCACCCAUUCACAAUAGCAUACCAUUCCAUGCAAAUAAUGUUUCUUCUGCAUGACGACCUACACAAAAAUGUUUCAGCAAUAAAAUUAUGUCGCAAACGAAAGCUCGAGAACAACCCACAGGCCAGUUCGCAUCCAACUGGGAGCUGCGAAUAUAUUGCACCCGUCCA